Molecule: ribosomal RNA, 489 nt
Filed under: uncultured bacterium
Lineage: Bacteria
Description: bacterial SSU rRNA
Rfam family: Bacterial small subunit ribosomal RNA
Source: RNAcentral
AGAGUUUGAUCAUGGCUCAGGAUAAACGCUGGCGGCGUGCCUAAAACAUGCAAGUCGAACGGGUUGUGUCUUUCGGGGCACAGCUAGUGGCGGACGGCUGAGUAACACGUGGGUGACCUGCCCUCGAGCGGGGGAUAACUGCCCGAAAGGGUGGCUAAUACCGCAGAUGUCGUGCAUUCGGUUGUGCGACUGAACUUGAGGGGCUCGGGGAGGGGCCCGCGGUCGAUUAGCUAGCUGGUGGGGUAACGGCCUACCAGGGCGACGAUCGAUAGCUGGUCUGAGAGGAUGAUCAGCCAGACUGGGACUGCGAACGGCCCAGACUCCUACGGGAGGCAGCAGUUAGGAAUUUUGGGCAAUGGGCGAAAGCCUGACCCAGCAACGCCGCGUGGGUGAUGAAGGCCCUCGGGUCGUAAAGCCCUUUUCCCAGGGACGAUGGUGACGGUACCUGGGGAAUCAGCCCCGGCUAACUACGUGCCAGCAGCCGCGGUA